GAUGAACGCUGGCGGCGUGCCUAAUACAUGCAAGUCGAGCGAACGGACGAGAAGCUUGCUUCUCUGAUGUUAGCGGCGGACGGGUGAGUAACACGUGGAUAACCUACCUAUAAGACUGGGAUAACUUCGGGAAACCGGAGCUAAUACCGGAUGAUAUUUUGAACCGCAUGGUUCAAAAGUGAAAGACGGUCUUGCUGUCACUUAUAGAUGGAUCCGCGCUGCAUUAGCUAGUUGGUAAGGUAACGGCUUACCAAGGCAACGAUGCAUAGCCGACCUGAGAGGGUGAUCGGCCACACUGGAACUGAGACACGGUCCAGACUCCUACGGGAGGCAGCAGUAGGGAAUCUGCCGCAAUGGGCGAAAGCCUGAGGGAGCAACGCCGCGUGAGUGAUGAAGGUCUUCGGAUCGUAAAACUCUGUAUUAGGGAAGAACAUAUGUGUAAGUAACUGUGCACAUCUUGACGGUACCUAAUCAGAAAGCCACGGCUAACUACGUG
RNAcentral lists this ribosomal RNA (496 nucleotides) under uncultured bacterium. Its description in RNAcentral is "partial 16S ribosomal RNA". It matches the Rfam family "Bacterial small subunit ribosomal RNA", at positions 28 to 507 of the family's 1533-position model. The record is from RNAcentral.